RNAcentral lists this ribosomal RNA (497 nucleotides) under uncultured bacterium. RNAcentral's name for it is "partial 16S ribosomal RNA". It matches the Rfam family "Bacterial small subunit ribosomal RNA", at positions 28 to 507 of the family's 1533-position model. The record is from RNAcentral.
GAUGAACGCUGGCGGCGUGCCUAAUACAUGCAAGUCGAGCGAACAGAUGAGGAGCUUGCUCCUCUGACGUUAGCGGCGGACGGGUGAGUAACACGUGGAUAACCUACCUAUAAGACUGGGAUAACUUCGGGAAACCUGAGCUAAUACCGGAUAAUAUAUUGAACCGCAUGGUUCAAUAGUGAAAGACGGUUUUGCUGUCACUUAUCGAUGGAUCCGCGCCGCAUUAGCUAGUUGGUAAGUUAACGGCUUACCAAGGCAACGAUGCGUAGCCGACCUGAGAGGGUGAUCGGCCACACUGGAACUGAGACACGGUCCAGACUCCUACGGGAGGCAGCAGUAGGGAAUCUGCCGCAAUGGGCGAAAGCCUGACGGAGCAACGCCGCGUGAGUGAUGAAGGUCUUCGGAUCGUAAAACUCUGUUAUUAGGGAAGAACAAAUGUGUAAGUAACUAUGCACGUCUUGACGGUACCUAAUCAGAAAGCCACGGCUAACUACGUG